This 391-nucleotide ribosomal RNA is filed under the name Chaetoceros sp. RNAcentral describes it as "partial small subunit ribosomal RNA". It matches the Rfam family "Eukaryotic small subunit ribosomal RNA", at positions 582 to 975 of the family's 1831-position model. Lineage: Eukaryota; Bacillariophyta; Thalassiosirophyceae; Chaetocerotales; Chaetocerotaceae. The record is from RNAcentral.
AUUCCAGCUUCAGUAGCGUAUAUUAAAGUUGUUGCAGUUAAAAAGCUCGUAGUCGCAUUUCUGGCGAGAGGAAUUGGUCCGACAUUUAUUGUGGGUACUCGGUUCUCUCUCGCCAUCCUUGAGUGGUCCGUUCUGGCAUUUAGUUGUCGGAGCGUCAGCCGCUCAUCGUUUACUGUGAGAAAAUUAGAGUGUUCAAAGCAGGCUUAUGCCGUUGAAUAUAUUAGCAUGGAAUAAUAAGAUAGGACCUCGGUGCUAUUUUGUUGGUUUGCGCACAGAGGUAAUGAUGAACAGGGACAGUUGGGGGUAUUUGUAUUUCGUUGUCAGAGGUGAAAUUCUUAGAUUUACGAAAGACGAACUACUGCGAAAGCAUUUACCAAGGAUGUUUUCAUCA